Rhopilema esculentum is the source of this 5054-nucleotide non-coding RNA. NCBI's taxonomy places the organism in Eukaryota, Metazoa, Cnidaria, Scyphozoa, Rhizostomeae, Rhizostomatidae. The record is from RefSeq and is a predicted model, not a curated record.
AACAACUACAGAGCACACACAAUAGUAGGUCCGAAGUGUUGGAUUCGUGUUGAAUAAUUAAUAUUUCAUUUCAAAUUUAUGUAUCGCUAUGAGUGGUAGCACAGUGGCCAAUACGGGUCAGGCUUUAGUGAGCUUUGACUCCAGAGUCAGUCUGGAUGCAAUGCAGGGUCUUGUUAAGUCACGAAGUGAUUUGUUCAUGACGGCCUACCACAGAAGACAGGAGAUGCUGGAAUCAGCUAAGGUCAAUACUGUGUGGGAUCUAAAGCCAAUUGACUUCUCAGUGAAGAUGUAUCAGCCAAACCCUCCGCCAAGAAAUACAAAAGAGUCAAUGGUAAAGAACUGGAGUGUAUUGAAAUUAAAAAACAAUUUGUCGUCAAAGGAAAUUAGGAAAGAGUCAAGACUUGUUGAAUCCUCUGUUCCUUUGUUAAAGUUGCCAUCUCUUCUUGUUCCCAAAGAUAUUGAUGAGUUGCCUGAAUUUGUUGCAAAGUUUAGACCCCCCAGCUCACAGACUUCCAGGCAAUCAUUUAUCAGAGAAGGAAUGUACGCGAAAGACCCAUACAAAACUGAUAGUGUAGGAAUUCAUCGUCGAGAUAUUUUUCGAAAGUUAGAGGACUUUAAAAAGUUUAGCAAAUAUGGCAUACAGGACUUUGACACCAGCUGUGCCGCUGAUCCUCAUGGUCUAAGAUUCAAGCAUAAUAUGUUAUCAAAAACUCUUCCAGAACUGAGUACAACUGAACAGAUAUCGAUACGAACCUGUCAGUCGGAGCCCAUGCCUAGACUACACCAGCCACCAAAAUGGGAAAAGCGCAACCAUCUACCGAGAUCAGCUUAUAAAAGAGGAAAAUCUCCAGGCACGGUACUAAUGGACAGCGUACAAAGAAAAACUGUUUGGGUGGAUGGUAAAGAGAAAACUGGUGGAAUUAUGAGACCUGACAUUUACGACUAUAAAAUUAAAGAUUGGUGUGAAGUAACACAAGCUCCAAGCGAAAUUGAUGGCCCAUUUCCUUUGGCUUGAGAAGCUAAAAAGCAUGUUGGCUUGACCUUAGACAUUUUGACUAAGCGUCACAUUUCAUAGGUGCUGUAAAUCUUCGAAUUGCCCCUUUCCUCGUAAAAGUUCAUCUCCCUUGAAAUUGCAAUUUUUUAUAAGCCCCCAUCCUGACAUGUCACUUCUUACAAUACAUGGUUUUAGUUAAUGACAUAGAAAGCAUAAAAUAAAAAGAGUUCUAGAAUCAUCUUCGCAACGUUUUUUCUCAAUAUAAACGUAGUUUUUCAAAGUAAGCUUGAAAAAAUAUAAAAAUUCCAUAAAAAGCCUAUAAGCAUAGCGAUCUUAAGAUGAUUCUAACAAGUCAUCAUCCUCUUUUAACCUUCCUUUCGAAUCCUCACCCAUUCAAAAAUAUCCUAAACUAAUUAGUCAAAGAGGGCAAAUUUGAGGCUUUACAGUAACACCGGCUACGACGAUAAGAAUCAUUCCAAUGCAGCUGGCUUCUUGAUGGUUCGUUGCCUUUGGAUUAGAGUUUUCAAUAAGGACAUGAUGUAGCUAAAAAACCAAGUUUUUUGUGCAGUUGGGUUGAUUAUGAAUUGUAUAUUAUUAAUAGAGCUAGUAAAAUAUUUUUGAAGAUGUAUGCCUUUUUCUAGAUUUGAAGAACUAUAUCAAAAUAUAUCGCAUUUUCCAAUUAAAACAUCUGAUUUAUGAUUCGAAAGUGGCUGCAGUCUUGAACUUAUGGUUAGGCUUGGUCAUUUUUUUAUACUGGAAGGAAAAAUAAUUGGAACGGAUUUUGCAUAAUUUAAUAAUCCUGCCUGAGUGAAGGAAUAUUUUCACUGACUAGAAUUAAAUGCUUAAAAGAAAAAGAAACUAUGUGGUGAUAUCUGAUCAAUUUACUGUGACACAAGUUUGUCCAGGGAAAUUGUGUAAUGUUUGUGAAAUAGGAAAGAAAGUUUGGGCAGACAACUGACAUUGAUUAACGUUUUGUUUGGAAAAUUUGAAAUAAAUCUGAUACUCCUGAUAUAAUACUCCUGAAAAUUUAACCUCCUUUAAACGAAACAGAGUUAAUUUUAUCAGUUCAUCAUCCGUGCUAAUAGAAAUUUCAGGUAGAACUUUAUUGUUUAGAGGUCUUAGAAACAAACAACAUGAUGAGCACUCGAGCCUUAAAUUGUUAAAAAAAUAAGGACACCGAGCCUCGGGAAAAACAAGGGAAAAUCUGGCUCUUGAAAAUAGAAUUGUAAUGGGGGCAAUGUGCUGGAAAUGUCCUCAGGAGUAUUUUUCAAUUUUUUCUCGCUAGGCCGAGUUUUGCACUCUGUGAAGUUGUUGUGCAGAUCUAAUGACUGCUGUUGAAAACGAGACAACGAACAAAGUAAAUGACUAAAUGUAACCAGGCUGAUCCUAUCCACCUUUUCGGACUUCACUAUUCAUAACACCACUUGUUUUGCAUAAAAUCAAUUAACAGAAGCCUUAUGCAGCUCCAAUUUCUUAAAGAUUCUCUAAAUAUAUUCUGUGUGUAGAAGUGUAGAAGUUAUGAAUUCUACGAAAAAAUGGGCAGGUUUGGAAGGGUAGAAAGAGCCAAAACAUUAAAUAAACAGCGAGGUUAUCAAAGGUCUUGACAUGACAAUUUAUUGUAAUUGUAAGCUCUUAUUAGUCCUCUUUCGCAUAAUUUGUUAAUAUUAAAGCCAUUAACACAGUACCUUCAAACAAAAGGGCGGCAAUCAAAGUAGUUCUAAACAAAAUUUUUCUUUUGGAAGUCUCUUCUUUCUUUUCUCACGAAGGCUGUUGCGUUUGCCAAUGAAUUGAAUCUUAAGCCCUCCUUAGAUGUAUAUUUUCACUUUACAGUCAUAUUCAACAUUAAUGACAAUAGCCAUGCCAAGUAGAUUAGCCAUGGAUACUUCUUUUGUUGAGAAAUAUAUAUUUCAAUGGUUGCUUGUUUUGACUAUGCUGUCGGAACUCCAGAAUGGAGCCUGACUGCACGUCCCAUUAUAUUUCUAUCCAGACAUUAAAUCCUUGAUUUUUCUUCAUUCUCUUUUAUUUUUCAUUAAACUUUUUCAAUGUGGGUUAGGGUCAUAAAAAUCUCUUGUAUGCAGCUUGCUAGUAUGCAAUAAGACGUUGGAAAGUUACCGAAUUUGAUCUUUUUGUCGCCCGGGCAUUUAUCAAAACUUUAACCAUCAGCGACUCGUAUUCGAGAGGGGCGUUUAUUGAAAAAAAUUGCUUACUGAAAGAUAAAUGAUCUUUUUCAAAUCGAUUCACACGCUCUAUAUGAAGGUACAAAUUCUAAUAUUUGCUCAACGUUCAUCCUCUUCUUUAUCCGAAUCUAUUACAGCUGUUAGCUUCUCUCCACGUUUGCUAUUUCAAAAGGACCUGUUUUUUCACUGUUAUCACAAGAAGUGAUGGUCUUCAAUUUUUCAUAUCCUGCGUUGGACGGCUUUAUUCCAUCUUUGAAAUAUGAUACUCUUAAACAUCUGCUUAUCUAGACUUUCAUUGUUAGGCGACAUGGGCAAAACGCAGCAAUGACUUGAUGAUGAUAAUUUUAGGACCUAUUAGUAUAAAUGGGAGCCUACAUAAUACAAAAAAUAUUGAGAAACUCUUAUGGAGAAUUUCAAUUGUUAUGGAGAACUUGGAGAGAAGUUACAGAAAAUAAUAGAAUGUCGUGGAGCAGCCGUUGUUGACUGUCUAACAAUAGAUUGAAGAUGAGCGUGCAGUUACAAAAACGAGAAAAAAGCAGUAAAAGUACCAUUGAAGUAUAAAGAUCCUACUCUUAAGUCUAUUUAACAUUAAGACCACUAGGAGAGAAGUUAUCUAAACGAUAUGGUCAAACGCUUCACUCCUACUACCACUGCCAGUCGUUCAGAGAGCAAAAAUCCACACAAGAACGUUUGGGAACCUGAGAUUGUAGAUAGAAAGAAACUGAUCUCAAAAUUUACUAUAUCUGUUAAAAUUAUUAUUUAGAAUAGAAUUUAUACAAUAAUUGCGUGUAUAUAACUUUAAAAUCAUGAAAAUCAUUGGAAAAUAUAACUGCAUCGAUUUAGGAAUAUACAGGCAUUUUUAAGGAAGUACGUUAUAAGGAAAGCAGUGCUCGAAAAAGGCCUAAACUCUUUGUUUUCUUUCAACCACUAUAAGCAAUGAAAAUAAUGCAGGUAUGCAGCAACUAUAGUACCGUCGAGGACCUCAGAAAUUAAUUUUAUGAUAUCUUACUUAAAUUUGAUAAUACGAUUAAAAAGAUGAUGUCUCAUUGAGUUGAUCCUUUACAUGUUAAAAAGUGUCUUCUGAGAUCUUUAUAACCAAAUUUAAUUGUUACUUAAAAUUCACAUGAAGACAAGGAAUUUUGAAAACUCAAAAUACCAAAAUUGAAUACCAAAAUUCAGACAUCUUACAGACACGUCAUUUACUUAAGUUUAAAAAUGAAUAUUCUAGUUUCUUGAUAGAUAUAAUAAUUGCUUCUGUAGACUACAUAGACUUUACAAUUAUACAAAUGACAAAUUUCAUAUACAUACUUAUAUAUAUAUAUAUAAAAGACUUAAAGCAUUCGAUCAUAAAUUAGGAAAUAUCAAAUCUAUCUUUUUUGUACUGUCCAUUUUAUGAAUUGAUGAUUUCAUCAAGAAUCUCCAGGCUGUCUCUUUCAUUUUUCUUCCUCCAUAACUUCUCUUUGUAUUUUCUUACUUCAACACCCUCCCAUGUUUUGUUUUUCAGUGGUUUAAAAUACCUGAGAGAAAACAUGAAGACGAAAUUCUUACUUAGUAACCCUUGUUGCAUCUUCAACAUAAAAUAAAUUCUCAGUAAGAACAUUUGUAAACUGAAAAGCACGGUUCAGAAGAGAAGUAAAUUUCACCAAUUGCAAUUCAAUUGAAAAAAUAAUUUUUUCUGUUAUUGCAACAAAAGAUAACAAAUUGCAAAAUUCUUCUAAGAAUCCAAGAUCCAUUGAAAUAUUUAGUAUUUGCAUGUAUUAUUAGUUACAAAGCAAAUUUGACCGUCUCUUUCAUGUGGCACAUAGACUGACGAACAUAUGGAACAUCUUUGAUGUGUCGCGUUAAGUCUUUCGGUCGAAAAUUCAAACGUCAUGACUGCUUUG